This 2359-nucleotide ribosomal RNA is filed under the name Euphorbia esula (leafy spurge). Its description in RNAcentral is "bacterial LSU rRNA". It matches the Rfam family "Bacterial large subunit ribosomal RNA", at positions 1 to 2457 of the family's 2925-position model. The record is from RNAcentral. Lineage: Eukaryota; Viridiplantae; Streptophyta; Magnoliopsida; Malpighiales; Euphorbiaceae.
UUUGACUAAUAAAAAUUUAUUAGGUUUUAAUUAAAUCAAUAAAACAUACAUAUUGAAAAUAUAAACUCUAAGAGAAAUCUGACUUGUUAACGAAGUGAAUUGAAAUAUCUUAGUAGCUUCAGGAAAAGAAAUCAAAAGAGAUUCUAUUAUUAACGUGAGCUAAAAUAGAACAGUCUAUAUAUUAAGUAAAACGGCUACAACUGUUUGAAUUAAUUGGGGGACCUUCCUCAAAGGCUAAAUAUAAUACAUGAGCGAUAGCAUACAAGUACCGUGAGGGAAGUGUUUUUUAGGAGUAAUUUUAUAAGCAGUUCAAGCGAAAGUAAGAACGUACCUUUUGCAUAAUGGGUCACCAAGUUAACAUUAGAUGCGAGCUAAAGCGUAGAUAAACCAAUCGUUAAAAUAACGAAAAGUGUCUAAAGUUAGACCCGAAGCCCGGUGAUUUUACCACAAUCAGGAUUAUAAAAGUCCGAACGGGUUAUCGUUGUAAAGAUAUCCGAGGAAUUGUGGUAGGUAGUGAAAGACAAUACUGACCGGGAUAGCUGGUUUUCUGCGAAACCUAUAACAGUAGGCAAUUCAAGAUAAUAUCUUAGCAGGUACAGAACUUAAUCUCAGACAAUAGAUGAUAAUAAUCAAAUAUUGUAUAUAUUGGGGGAUCGUGAAGAUUUUAUCAGAGAGUUUUAGACCUCGGAAGGGCAAAGAUGUAAUCUAAAGAAUCGGACAUAGUGCGAUAAGGUUGUAUGUCAAAAGGGAAACAGCCCAGAACAAGUGUUUAAGGUUCCAAAAUUAUUAUUAAGUGAAAAAAAGGAUGUAUGGUUCUACUACUAUCAGGAAAUAGGCUUAGAAGCGGCCAUUUUUUAAAGACCUCGUAACAGAGCACUGAUAUUUAAAUGAAAAUUUCAUUUUAAGAUAACAAACUCCGAAGAUAUAACGGAUCUAAAUAAUAUACCGAAACCUUGUUUAUUAAUAAUAAAAUAAAUGACAUAUAAUUAAUUAUUAUUAUAAGGUAGCGGAACGUUGGGUAAAUACGUAUAUAUAUGUAUAUGAAUAUAUAUAUAAUUGAAACAUAUAACAGGUAUAUCCCAAAUGAUAAUGCUGAUUAUGAGUAACGAAAAAGUUUUUAAUAACUCGCCUAAAGCUUAUGGAAAUAAAUUUUACUACGGCCUCUAAAUUUUUAAAUACCCAAAGGGUUAAAUGAUGAGUUCAAUAAAUUAUAUAAUAAUUUAAAAAUAUAUAAGAAAAAUAUUACACAUAAUCUGGAAAAAUAAUGUAUUAGUGUAUUUUUAUGUAUUAUAAGUUAUAUAAUUUAUUAUAUACCGUUCCUAGAUACUACCACCAGUAAGCGAGUAGAGAAUACGAAGGCGUUUGAGAUAAUAAUCAUUAAGGAACUCGGCAAAUUGACUCCGUAACUUAGGGAUAAGGUGGGCCAAUCCUUUUUAAUUAAGGAACAGGAGGCAUAGAAUGGUGUUGUACGACUGUUUAUUUAAAACACAGCACUUUGCAUAAGAUGGUAAAUCUAAGUAUUGAGUGUGAUUUCUGCCCUAUAUUGGUAGGUUAACUAAUUAUCUUAAUUUAAUUAAAUUAGGUAUAGAACGGAACCCCCAAUCAAUGGCGGCCUUACCUAUGAGGGUCUUAAGGUAGCGGAAUACCUUGGCCGUUAAAUGCGGUCUUGCAUGAAUGAUGUAACGAUACAACAGCUGUCUCAAUGAUUAGCUCAGUGAAAUUAUAAUAGCAGUGCAGAUACUGUUUACCACUAGUUAGACGAGAAGACCCUAUGCAGCUUUACUGUUACUAACUAUUAGGCUAUGUAUAAUAAAUUGUAGUGAAUAAGGUAAUCGUUUUCAUUAUUUUUUAUAAUGAAAAACUUAGAUAUAGGUGAAACACCUUUAUUUGUUUACAUAGUUAUUUAUUUCUAAAUUUUUAAAUGUAAUUAAUUACAAAUUAAAAAAUUAAGUUUUACAUUUGUUAGAAGACAGUUUAUGCGGGGCACAGAUCCCAUAAAUAGUACCUGGGUAUAUCCAAUGUUAAUUUGUAUAAAUUUAUACAUGUCAAUGUAUUAAAUAUAAUCAAGUUAAAUUUAAUGAGGUCUUAGAUUAAUCUAAUUCAUUUAUAUAUUCUUUAUUAAGAUUGAAUUUUUUUUAUUUUUAGUAAGAUUACAAUUAUUUGGAAAAUAAUUUUUUAUAUUAUAAUUAUACAUAUAUGUAUAUUAUUAUAAGCGUAUAUUUUAAUUAAAAUAUAUGAAAAUAUAAAUUUAGUUUAACGGCUUAAUCUUGCUUUACUGUUUGACUUACACGUCUUUCAGUCGCGUAAGCGGGGCAUAUGAAAACAAAACACAGCAAGGAAAGGUUUUGGAUUUAUGAAA